CACUGCCGAGAAAAGCCUCUAGAUAGAAAAUAGGUGCCCGUACCGCAAACCGACACAGGUAGUCAAGAUGAGAAUUCUAAGGUGAGCGAGCGAACUCUCGUUAAGGAACUCGGCAAAAUGACCCCGUAACUUCGGGAGAAGGGGUGCUCUUUAGGGUUAACGCCCAGAAGAGCCGCAGUGAAUAGGCCCAAGCGACUGUUUAUCAAAAACACAGGUCUCUGCUAAACCGUAAGGUGAUGUAUAGGGGCUGACGCCUGCCCGGUGCUGGAAGGUUAAGAGGAGUGGUUAGCUUCUGCGAAGCUACGAAUCGAAGCCCCAGUAAACGGCGGCCGUAACUAUAACGGUCCUAAGGUAGCGAAAUUCCUUGUCGGGUAAGUUCCGACCCGCACGAAAGGCGUAACGAUUUGGGCACUGUCUCAACGAGAGACUCGGUGAAAUCAUAGUACCUGUGAAGAUGCAGGUUACCCGCGACAGGACGGAAAGACCCCGUGGAGCUUUACUGUAGCCUGAUAUUGAAAUUCGGCACAGCUUGUACAGGAUAGGUAGGAGCCUUUGAAACGUGAGCGCUAGCUUACGUGGAGGCGCUGGUGGGAUACUACCCUAGCUGUGUUGGCUUUCUAACCCGCACCACUUAUCGUGGUGGGAGACAGUGUCAGGCGGGCAGUUUGACUGGGGCGGUCGCCUCCUAAAAGGUAACGGAGGCGCUCAAAGGUUCCCUCAGAAUGGUUGGAAAUCAUUCAUAGAGUGUAAAGGCAUAAGGGAGCUUGACUGCGAGACCUACAAGUCGAGCAGGGUCGAAAGACGGACUUAGUGAUCCGGUGGUUCCGCAUGGAAGGGCCAUCGCUCAACGGAUAAAAGCUACCCCGGGGAUAACAGGCUUAUCUCCCCCAAGAGUUCACAUCGACGGGGAGGUUUGGCACCUCGAUGUCGGCUCAUCGCAUCCUGGGGCUGUAGUCGGUCCCAAGGGUUGGGCUGUUCGCCCAUUAAAGCGGUACGCGAGCUGGGUUCAGAACGUCGUGAGACAGUUCGGUCCCUAUCCGUCGUGGGCGUAGGAAAUUUGAGAGGAGCUGUCCUUAGUACGAGAGGACCGGGAUGGACAUACCUCUGGUGUACCAGUUGUCGUGCCAACGGCAUAGCUGGGUAGCUAUGUGUGGACGGGAUAAGUGCUGAAAGCAUCUAAGCAUGAAGCCCCCCUCAAGAUGAGAUUUCCCAACUUCGGUUAUAAGAUCCCUCAAAGAUGAUGAGGUUAAUAGGUUCG
This 1258-nucleotide ribosomal RNA is filed under the name Staphylococcus aureus. RNAcentral describes it as "partial 23S ribosomal RNA". It matches the Rfam family "Bacterial large subunit ribosomal RNA", at positions 1603 to 2864 of the family's 2925-position model. The record is from RNAcentral. Lineage: Bacteria; Bacillati; Bacillota; Bacilli; Caryophanales; Staphylococcaceae.